Molecule: ribosomal RNA, 450 nt
Filed under: uncultured bacterium
Lineage: Bacteria
Description: partial 16S ribosomal RNA
Rfam family: Bacterial small subunit ribosomal RNA
Source: RNAcentral
CCUACGGGGGGCUGCAGUGGGGAAUAUUGGACAAUGGGGGAAACCCUGAUCCAGCAAUGCCGCGUGUGUGAAGAAGGCCUGCGGGUUGUAAAGCACUUUCGGUUGGGAAGAAAAGUUUGGCGCCAAUACCGCCGAACCUUGACGUUACUGACAGAAGAAGCACCGGCUAACUCUGUGCCAGCAGCCGCGGUAAUACAGAGGGUACAAGCGUUGAUCGGAACCACUGUACGUAAAGCGUGCAUAGGUGUGUGAAAUCCCCGGGCUGAACCUGGGAACUGCAUUCGAUACUACAUGGCUAGAGUAUGGUAGAGGGAAGUGGAAUUUCCGGUGUAGCGGUGAAAGGCGUAGAUAUCGGAAGGAACACCAAUGGCGAAGGCAGCUUCCUGGACUAAUACUGACACUGAGGCACGAAAGCGUGGGUAGCAAACAGGAUUAGAUACCCCAGUAGUC